RNAcentral lists this ribosomal RNA (468 nucleotides) under uncultured bacterium. RNAcentral's name for it is "partial 16S ribosomal RNA". It matches the Rfam family "Bacterial small subunit ribosomal RNA", at positions 28 to 507 of the family's 1533-position model. The record is from RNAcentral.
GACGAACGCUGGCGGCGUGCUUAACACAUGCAAGUCGAACGGAAAGGCCCUGCUUUUGUGGGGUGCUCGAGUGGCGAAAGGGUGAGUAACACGAGAGUCACCUGCCCUUGACUUUGGGAUAACUUCAGGAAACUGAGGCUAAUACCUGACAGGAGCUCCUGCUGCAUGGUGUGGGUUGGAAAGUUUCGGCGGUUGGGGCUGGACUCGCGGCUUAUCAGCUUGUUGGUGGGGUAGUGGCUUACCAAGGCCUUGACGGGUAGCCGGCCUGAGAGGGUGACCGGCCACAUUGGGACUGAGAUACGGCCCAGACUCCUACGGGAGGCAGCAGUGGGGAAUAUUGCACAAUGGGCGGAAGCCUGAUGCAGCAACGCCGCGUGCGGGAUGACGGCCUUCGGGUUGUAAACCGCUUUCGCCUGUGACGAAGCGUGAGUGACGGUAAUGGGUAAAGAAGCACCGGCUAACUACGUG